GACGAACGCUGGCGGCGUGCUUAACACAUGCAAGUCGAGCGGUAAGGCCCUUUCGGGGGUACGACGAGCGGCGAACGGGUGAGUAACACGUGGGUGACCUGCCCUCCAGCUCUGGGAUAAGCCUGGGAAACCGGGUCUAAUACUGGAUAUGACUCCAUGACGCAUGUUGUGGGGUGGAAAGCCUUGUGCGGCUGAGGAUGGGCCCGCGGCCUAUCAGCUUGUUGGUGGGGUGAUGGCCUACCAAGGCGACGACGGGUAGCCGGCCUGAGAGGGCGACCGGCCACACUGGGACUGAGACACGG
This 302-nucleotide ribosomal RNA is filed under the name uncultured bacterium. RNAcentral describes it as "bacterial SSU rRNA". It matches the Rfam family "Bacterial small subunit ribosomal RNA", at positions 28 to 329 of the family's 1533-position model. The record is from RNAcentral.